Arabidopsis lyrata subsp. lyrata is the source of this 1170-nucleotide long non-coding RNA. RefSeq lists it as uncharacterized. NCBI's taxonomy places the organism in Eukaryota, Viridiplantae, Streptophyta, Magnoliopsida, Brassicales, Brassicaceae. The record is from RefSeq and is a predicted model, not a curated record. The transcript is spliced from 8 exons.
AUGAUAGCUCAUUUUCCGUAACUGCUAUGAAAGAUAAAUUUUUUAUUUGAAUUAUAUAUAAUAGCACUGAAACAACGCUAAAAUAGAAAAUCACCAAAUAGAAAGCUAAAAUCACUCGUUCCGCCAAUACUUAGGCGAAAUAAUUCACUUAAGCGCCAUAUGUUUCAGAUCCAAAAACUUAAAACGCCAAAGUAAAAAAACUAAAACCCUUCACUUUACCACAAAAUAAAACAUAUCUCCAAAAAACAAAAAAAUCCCAAGUCGAAGAAAAAGAUUUGUUGGAUCUGAGACAUAGCCAUAGCCAGUUAGCCACCAGCGUGAAGCUCGUCGCCGGCCUCCACCGUGAAGCUCGUCGCCGGCCUCCACCAUGAAGCUCGUCGCCGGCCUCCACAGUGAAGCUCGUCGUCACGACAGAACACAGUAAAGGAGUUUGGUGAGAGCUGGAGCAGAUUCAAGCCAUGGAUCUGGUGGUUGCUAAGUGACGGCAAUUACUGUGAAUAUGAGAACUGUGAAGACGAAGACUGAGAAAGAGUGAACACAUGGUCGUCGUAAUUACGGGUAAUGAAGCUCCAAACUUGAGGUACUACUACAUAGUUUUUAGUAGCCACAUAUGGUGCUUGCGGACAAUGUUGCAUGUUCUGGAUUUUUGGUGUGGUUCCUGAUUAUACAAAAGAUUUUGAGGUGAAGGACGAGCGAAAAUAGAGAAUUAAGAGAUGGAUGAUAGUGAAGGUUCUGAAUUCUUACCUCUUGAUAUAUAGCAAAACUGGUGGAUGAAUCUUUUGAUGCUAGAGAAAUGGAGUAUGUGCGUUUAGUAUCCGCUGUUUGUUGGAUAUAUGGUGAGAUAACAUUUGUUUCGAAAUUAUUUUCUUUUGGUAAGUUGUGAAGCAGAGAGAGAUGGAAUCCUGGAGUCUCUAGAAGUGACGUAGUCAAGGUUCUCUCCUUCUUUGUUUCUUACUUUGCUUCAGUCAGUCUGGAGCUUUCAAGUUGUCAAAAGAUGGUUUUCUAUUGCUCCAAUUUGCUCCUUCUGCUGGUGUACGACAAUAUAAUUAAGGCAAGAAACAGGUUGCACUUGAUUCGCCUCCAAGCUUCUGUUUGUGCUCUCUUGUCCUAUGCUACUGUUGUUGUUGCUGCAGCUUCUGUCUCUUCUCCUAUGCUACUGUUUUUGUUGCU